Molecule: ribosomal RNA, 484 nt
Filed under: uncultured bacterium
Lineage: Bacteria
Description: partial 16S ribosomal RNA
Rfam family: Bacterial small subunit ribosomal RNA
Source: RNAcentral
GUUGAACGCUGGCGGCAGGCCUAACACAUGCAAGUCGAGCGGAUGAACGGAGCUUGCUCCUGGAUUCAGCGGCGGACGGGUGAGUAAUGCCUAGGAAUCUGCCUGAUCGUGGAGGCUAACGUCCGGACACGGGCGCUAAUACCGCAUACGACCUGAUGGUGAAAGUGGGGGAUCUUCAGACCAAAAGCUAUCAGAUGAGCCUAGGUCGGAUUAGCUAGUUGGUGAGGUAAGGGCCUACCAAGGCGACGAUCCGUAGCUGAUCUGAGAGGAUGAUCAGUCACACUGGAACUGAGACACGGUCCAGACUCCUACGGGAGGCAGCAGUAGGGAAUCUUGGACAAUGGGCGAAAGCCUGAUGCAGCCAUGCCGCGUGUGUGAUGAAGGUCUUCGGAUUGUAAAGCACUUUAAGUUGGGAGGAAGGGCAGUAAGUUAAUACCUUGCUGUUUUGACGGUACCAACAGAAUAAGCACCGGCUAACUUCGUG